GGUGGAUUAGUGGCGAACGGGUGAGUAACACGUGGGCAAUCUGCCCUGCACUCUGGGACAAGCCCUGGAAACGGGGUCUAAUACCGGAUAUGACCAUCUUGGGCAUCCUUGAUGGUGUAAAGCUCCGGCGGUGCAGGAUGAGCCCGCGGCCUAUCAGCUUGUUGGUGAGGUAAUGGCUCACCAAGGCGACGACGGGUAGCCGGCCUGAGAGGGCGACCGGCCACACUGGGACUGAGACACGGCCCAGACUCCUACGGGAGGCAGCAGUGGGGAAUAUUGCACAAUGGGCGAAAGCCUGAUGCAGCGACGCCGCGUGAGGGAUGACGGCCUUCGGGUUGUAAACCUCUUUCAGCAGGGAAGAAGCGAAAGUGACGGUACCUGCAGAAGAAGCGCCGGCUAACUACGUGCCAGCAGCCGCGGUAAUACGUAGGGCGCAAGCGUUGUCCGGAAUUAUUGGGCGUAAAGAGCUCGUAGGCGGCUUGUCACGUCGAUUGUGAAAGCUCGGGGCUUAACCCCGAGUCUGCAGUCGAUACGGGCUAGCUAGAGUGUGGUAGGGGAGAUCGGAAUUCCUGGUGUAGCGGUGAAAUGCGCAGAUAUCAGGAGGAACACCGGUGGCGAAGGCGGAUCUCUGGGCCAUUACUGACGCUGAGGAGCGAAAGCGUGGGGAGCGAACAGGAUUAGAUACCCUGGUAGUCCACGCCGUARACGGUGRGAACUAGGUGUUGGCGACAUUCCACGUCGUCGGUGCCGCAGCUAACGCAUUAAGUUCCCCGCCUGGRGAGUACGGCCGCAAGGCUAAAACUCAAAGGAAUUGASGGGRGCCCGCACAAGCGGC
Molecule: ribosomal RNA, 835 nt
Filed under: Streptomyces sp. R7A
Lineage: Bacteria; Bacillati; Actinomycetota; Actinomycetes; Kitasatosporales; Streptomycetaceae
Description: bacterial SSU rRNA
Rfam family: Bacterial small subunit ribosomal RNA
Source: RNAcentral